RNAcentral lists this long non-coding RNA (1701 nucleotides) under Musa acuminata (dwarf banana). RNAcentral describes it as "long non-coding RNA (MACU_LNC007702)". The record is from RNAcentral. Lineage: Eukaryota; Viridiplantae; Streptophyta; Magnoliopsida; Zingiberales; Musaceae.
ACCCGGGUAUUAUCGAAAAUCAUAGAAAUUGCAUGGUAUAGAGAGUUUGGUAAUAUUCCAUACCUCUCUCUAUACGAUAUCGCUGGAAUUCCGAAGUGUUUACCUUCUCCUCUUCACUGGCCCGAAGUGUUUACCUUCUCCUCUUCACUGGCCCGAAGUGUUGACCUUCUCUUCUUCACUGGCCCAUAAGAAUACGAAUAUCACUCCACUCCCUAUAGCAUAGCAUUUAAUAGAUUCUUCAGAUAGCUUAGAUUCAUAUAUAUAGCUUGUUCUCUCUAUCUCGCAUUCACCUUAACCAAUUAACAGCUCUGCUCCUUCUGAUGCUACAUCUCCUGCGGAUUCCACUUCUUGUCCCGAGGAAGGAUUCGAGGAAGGAUUAAUGAAACUAGGCUAACGCUCUAUUAGCUCGCUACCGCUCUAUUAGCUCGGGAUAUAGAUAUUGGAAGUAAGCUGGAUAGACAUCGGAACAAGGAGAUAGAGAUGCCUUGCCCCAACAUCUAAAUAAAGGUGAACAUGAAAGAGAUUGCUUAGCUGGUUCAGUAGUGGGAGUAAUUGUAUCUCUUCGAUUGGAAUUCCCGGUUGCUAGCUCAGGUCUUGUUAGCGCUUGUUCCAUCUCUACUGAUAGUAGUUAAAGUGAAGUGAUGGUUGGAGAAUUCUAUAAGGUAGUCUUGGGCUUAAAACGGGAGUAGCAGGCUCAUAGGCAAGGCAAUAAAGUAAGAUUCCGGUUCCUUAGUGUAAGUACUAGUUUUGAGUUAAAGUAAUUAGGCACUGUUCGAUUCUCUAGUGCACAGGAAUUGAGUGACUACUAAAAAGAAGCGAGCUACUUACAAAUAGGCUUGCUAUGCUCACUUUUCUUCUUCAAUUACUAACUAUCGGGCAUAACCCACGGAGUAGUAAAUACAGAAGAUAACUCAUAUCUGUAUAAGACUCAUUUUGGUAGUGGUAUGGGGCUGGAAAGUGGCGAUAAAGAACUAAACCUCUAUAGUAGUUGUAGCUUGGCCGUUACUUGGCGAAAACGGAAACCAUAAAUCCUGUCUCUUAUUCUGGCACUCCCUACUGGCAUUCCUUAGCCCACUGUUGAAAACUUAUACUACUUAUUUGAAUUCUGAUAUGAAAGUGGAAGCCUUCUACUUACUUAUUUCAUUCUUGCUUGUUUGCGGAGUUUAUUAUACUCCUUCCGCUACUUCUGAUGUUUGAUUGUCAGCCUUAUUGUUAGCUAGCUUCAAACUUCCCCUCGUUAGCUUCAUCUGUUAGUUCGAGUUAGAGGCUUAUUAGUUAUUCAACAUGGCAAGCCUUAUUGCCCUGACUUAUAGUCUGACCCAGGCCUCUCAGAGGUUAGUCUGGCACCCGGAAAUUGAAGCCUUACUUGUUUGUUUAAUACUUAUUGCCUCCUGGUUAAAGCUUCGGCUCCUCGCUGAUAACUAAAGCUUUUCAGAAUGUACCUAGCGGCAUUAAGGCUUUGACUCAUAAUAUAGAGAAUGAAUACGGAUUUCCGAAUAGCGUAUUUAAUGGAUAGAAUACAGAGUAGCGCCAGUAAGAGCAUUAGAUUCAAAUGAAAAAUCAUUGAACUCGAAACAGAGGAUCAAACUGCAGCUUCUAAGACAGCAACUAAGAACUCGGGUUUCCACUGGUGCUUCUAAUACUUGAAUCAAUGCCAACAAGACCUACCCUUAUAACAAGGAUUUAUACCACUGAUCCCAC